UUACACCCGUGGCCCACGAAAUCUGUCCUAUUUACGAGUGAAAUAAAGCAUCGUGAAUAAAAAUUUCCAUUUCCUUUGUGAUUUUUGAUGCCGCCAUAAACGUGCACCGUUGUGCGUCGGUCGCAUCGCCAUGCGUUUUAUAUCGCGCUCUUUACAAGAGCUUAUUUUUGUUAUCAGUUUCUCGAGCAGUUGAGGACAGAAAGUGCAUACUGUCACGUCUGGUAUAGGUUAAUCAGAAUUUUUACGAGCCGCUCCGAAACUCCGGGCAAUCAACAUUAACGUUUACUGCCAGAUACUAAUGCGACGAGGUAUCCGCGAUCCAUCAGCGUGUGGCUGCAUUUUAUUAGUCCACCUAUACACGAUGAGUUUAGAUCGACUUUAAUCGUUCGCCACACCCAGACUCAUAAUUCUGCACCGUUUAAUCUACCGUUCUGAUCUAAUAACUCCUUCGCGUCCAAAUAUGCAGUUCCUACUUUCAUCGAUCUCCUACUUGGAUUUAAUCUUCUUCUGGAGAACACUUGUUCCGGCAACGGUAACUACUAGUCAAAUGGUAUCCGUGCAGAGAGAUUUGAUUGACCGAGCAUUGUCCGGGGUGAAAGGAGGUAAAAUUCAUCGAACUGACCAAAGUCGACGGAGAAAUGGUUAAAGGCGAAUAGAAACUCUUAGUAUACUGUCGGAGGUUUCACCGGCCUCUCGAACAUCAAUAACGGACAAGAUCAGAACUUAAGGCAAUUGCGCACUGAUACAACAAAGGGCAUCGGCUAACGCGGUUAUACCUCGAUGCCGAUGAGACUCCUCGCUCCUCGGAUAUUUAUUGGACACCCGUUCUGCGCUGAUGUGACCUGAAAGCAGAAAGCGAAGUUAGCGUACAGAAUUUUUUGGUGUUUCUUAAAUUAUUAAGAGGUGUAAGCUUCAUUAUUUGGUGACAAUUUUAUUUUAUAAAAAAUGUUAUAAUAUUAUGUGGACCAUUUAUAAUAA
RNAcentral lists this long non-coding RNA (978 nucleotides) under Megachile rotundata (alfalfa leafcutting bee). RNAcentral describes it as "uncharacterized LOC105663007, transcript variant X1". Lineage: Eukaryota; Metazoa; Arthropoda; Insecta; Hymenoptera; Megachilidae. The record is from RNAcentral.